Eleginops maclovinus (Patagonian blennie) is the source of this 2882-nucleotide long non-coding RNA. RefSeq lists it as uncharacterized. Lineage: Eukaryota; Metazoa; Chordata; Actinopteri; Perciformes; Eleginopidae. The transcript has 2 exons. The record is from RefSeq and is a predicted model, not a curated record.
UGUAGUCGUACAAAAACCUCCCUCAGUCAGACUGCAGACACACUGAGCUGUUACAGCAGGAACCGACUGCAGCUGCUGAAGAGGAAGAGACUCUGACACAGACCACUGAACACAGAGCUGACAGGAACCUCACCAAGCACUAAAACACACUCAUACUAAUAUGUUGAAUAAAAUACAUCUUACAAAUCUAACACCACAUUAUAUUACAUUCCCAUUUACUCUAAGCUAAAGAGAGACAGUUGUUUCUUGAUUUCACAUUCGAAUCAUGACUUCAGACUCAAAUCAAAUUGAUCCCAUAGUCAGUUAUUUGUUCAUCAUUUAUCAUUUACUUUUCUUUAAUACUGUAAUGAUUUGUUUACCAGUUCAAUAAGGAGAAACAUCAGUAUUCACAUGUUAAGAACCAAAGCAUUUAAUUUUCCACAGAGAGGAAUAUCACUUUAUGUUUUAAAUCCAUUUAAUUUCUUACUAAUACAAAAGAAAGACCAAACACAUCAUCAUGAUAUUUAUCAGUUAAAGCUUUAUUAGGAAAAUGAUGAAUCAUCAACAUGACAGUUACUAAGCACGCUCACAUCUCUGCUGAGCUUUACACAUUACUCUCUAAGUUGUUGCUGUCCAACACUUUACAGCAGUGUUGUUCUCUGCCACACAAAGCUUUAGUUUCCUCUACAAACAGUAAAACUCAUAAUGAUCAGAGCAGUAUGUGUUCCCCCUGCUCCCCCCGACACACAGCUCCUGUCCUGGGCUUCAGCCGGCCCCUCUAGCCCUCACAUUGGCUCCUGUGGAUGGACUGGGUCUGGCUGUGGUCAUGAUGGAGGACCUUGCAGGAGUAUAGAUCUCCUGACAGCCAGCGCUCCUGGCUCAGGCUCAGGGCGCUGCUGCUGCUGUAGCGUCCGCUCUUCUCCUCCUCCGAGCUGCUCAGCACCCCCUCUGUCACCGCUGUGCCGUCCACCUCCCAGCUCACCACGGCUCCCUGAGGAGAGUAGCCGGACAGCAGGCAGGCCAGCGUGACCGAGCCCCCAGAGAGCUGCUCAGAGGAGGGCGCCAGAAGGGAGACCGAGGGCCUGACCAUGGAGCCCGCUGCAGGGGAGAGCAGAAACACAGAAGGAGCAGAUUAACUUCCACUGCAGGACAGACACUGAACCUGAGACAGAGUUGAAACAGGACAGAGAUACUGUGGGUCAGCUGUGUGCAUGAAGCUGUGAUCACAAGAGGAGCUGAGGCAUGGGAGAACAUGAGGGUUUAAUAUAUCAAAUAAAACGGUGAUACUUGAUAUCAUUUUGGCAUUUAAAAUAAUGAAUCUUCUACUUUGGAACUCAUCAAAAAUCCUUAAGAAGUUUCUGAAAGUUUGCAUCAUAAUGAAGUGUUAAUGUUAAGAUCAUUAUAUGAAAUCCUUCAUCUCUGCUUUACAAUGUUUGAGAAUAAUUAACUAAUCUCUGCAAUAAUUUACUGUUGAGAAAAACAACAUGUAACAUCUAAUACAGUUGAACACUUUGUCAUCUGUUUGUUUCACUUCCUUUUAACCUCUUUUAAAUUAACGGACUGUGAACACAAACUGAAGCGACUCUGAAUGAACAAAAAUAAACAUUAAUUUAUUUUAACGGCUCCUCAGAAGAUUUGAUAUGAAACACAAUGUUAAAAUAUCUAACCAUUAAAAUGCAAUUUACAAUGGGACUGUUUUUAUUUUAUGACAGAGCAACUAUUCUUUGGUAAAUGGUAAAAAUGUGUUUAUAUCUUAUUAAAAUUGUACAUAUAAUUCACUGUAACAUCUUCUUUAUAUGAAAAUCAAACGAAUUUUACUCAAUGUUUUUCAAUUCUUCAGCUAUGCUUUAUAUCAGUAAAAAAAUAUCAACUUUAUAUAUUAUUUUAAAUAAUUUCCUGAUUUGUCAUAUUCUAAAGCUAAAGUAAAUGUAAGGUUUAUAGUGUUAGAAAAUACAAUUAUCUGGUACUUACAUUGAACGAUGAGUUUGGUUCCUCCACCAAAAGUCCACCACAGUGAUACAAACUCAUUAAGUGGCCGUACAAAAACCUCCUGCACUGUCAACAAGCAUGUAUCCACUGAAUAUACUCCCUGAUCUUACAUUAAACAAGAAAAUGUAUAAUUUUUAAAUAAAAAGGCUAUGUAAGGCAAUGGAUGGAAUUUAUUAUGUAAAUAAAUAUUAUUUAUUUCAUUUUUCUUCACUUUUCUAAACCUGGCAAAGAAAUGAUUACAUUCUACUUUAAACAAAGUCCAUAUUUUUUUCGAGUUUAUAUUCCUUUCUACAUGUUUUAAUGAACUUGAUGCUUUUAAAUAAUAAUUAUUUACACAUUUAUUUCAAACAGAACUGAAAUACGUUAUUUUUCUACAGUAAAGUAGAUUAAUGUCAGACAAACAGACAUAUCAUACCAACCACAGCAAACACAAACUUAAAUCCUCAACUCCACUCCUGAUAUAAAUAUGUUCUUCCAUUAAGAUGAUAGAUGGUGUAAAUCCAGACAGUUUUCCUCAUGAUUUUGUGUCCCACGUUGCCUUCAGUGUGCUGAGAGCAGAGAAAUGAUUUCCAUAGAGAGGAAGCUUUGCAUCGUCAGCUGAUCCUCCCGUGAACUGAGAAGGUUUAUAGUCCUGUGAGUUCAACACUGCAGGACUCACAUCUGUCAGUCAGCAGAAACCACCAGCACCAUGACUCUCAUCACCAUCCUCAUCUGGACGCUGGCCUGCUGCUGUUUCACAGGAUGCAGCGGUCAGGUGACUGUGACUCAGCCUGCAGUAAAGACAUCUGCUCCAGGAUCCACCGUCACUCUCACCUGUAAAACCAACAGAGAUGUUUACUACCAUUCUUCGUAUGGUCAUUAUAUGUUCUGGUAUCAACAGAAAUCUGGACAGCCUCCAAAGCUCCUGAUAAGAU